UGUACCCUGAAUGUCGGAUUCCCUCCAUGGUAGGUAAUCUUUACACAUCACAAACUGAAGCUAUGUGUCUUGUGCAGCAGAUGUUAAGUUGACUGCACGCAUUUAUCAAGUAACAAUAAAUAACUGUAUCAUAAGGAAAACAUAAUUAAAACAAAAUUGUAUUCUGAUUUAUGCUCCAGGCUGUGUAAAUUUGGGUUUCAGUUCUUUUCAGGAUACAGUAAAAUAUGUAUUGUUAAUUGCAAAUCAGAAAAGAAACAUGGUGGCUGACCAAUGUGGAAAGCUACAUAGACGACUGACUUUUCAAGUCAUGCAUGCAUGUGUAACCACCGAAAGCUAUGUGUAGUGGAGAAUAUGGGAAAGCAAGGACGACUGACUUUUGCACUGAAGUCAUGAGAUGAGUGGCUAAGAAUUUCCUACCCUACAAAUAAAUUACAACCACGAGGGUAAGAUCGUGCACUGAAGUCAUGUAUAGCUUGUUUUUUCAAAACGUGUUCUUGGUAUAGCAUUUGCAGACGACAAUGCCUGUGGAAAAAAGAGGGCAGGAUAGCAACUUUUACCUCACUGCAGAUUAAGUUAAAUAGCAUUGCAGUCUGCUCCUGCAAGCACAGAGAAGCACCCAUCUCAGAUGAAGUUCUUCCUCCUCUGUUUCCUCCUCUGUUUUGGCCUCAAGCCUGCGUUUUUCACUGCAGCAAGCGAUGACCAACUCUUGUACCAUGGCUUCACAGCCGGUACCAACCUCACCGUCGACGAGGCUGCUUCAGUCACGCCGAACGGACUCCUUGAGCUAACCAAUGGCUCGCUUGGUUGCAAAGGUCAUGCGUUCUACCCAACUCCGUUGCACUUCCGCAAAUCGCAUAAUGAUACAGUGCAAUCUUUCUCAGUCGCCUUCGUGUUUGCCAUCCACUCUAGCUACCCCAUCAUGAGCCGACAGGGCUUGGCUUUCGUUGUCGCCCCAAGCAUGAACUUCUCAACUGCAUUGGCCAACCAAUACUUGGGCCUCAUGAACUCCCAGAACAACGGCAACUUGAGCAACCACAUCUUCGCCAUCGAGCUAGACACCGUCCUAAACAUCGAGUUCAAAGACAUCAACACCAACCAUGUAGGUAUUGACAUCAACAGCCUCCAGUCUAUAGAGUCCAACUCUGCAGGAUAUUAUGAUGAUAGGAACGGUACCUUCCAAGACAUGGUUCUUGCUAGUGGUGAUGCAAUUCAAGUGUGGGUGGACUACAAUGGUGAAGCCAAGAAAAUCAGUGUGACCAUGGCUCCCCUUCAAAUGGCAAAACCUACAAGGCCACUCAUAUCGACAAAUUAUGACCUCUCGAGUGUGUUGCAAGAUCCAUCCUACAUCGGCUUCUCAUCUUCAGGUGGAGAGGUCGACUCAAGACAUUAUGUACUUGGUUGGAGUUUUGGGAUGAACAAACCAGCCCCACUGAUCAAUUCUGUGAAGCUGCCAAAACUACCUCAGCCAAAGCAUCAAUCAAAGCUGCUGAAAAUCAUCCUACCUAUAGCGAGCGCAAUCUUCGUAUUUGCUGUGGGUUCUAUGGUCAUUUUACUAGUGAGGAGAAAAUUGAGGUAUGCUGAGCUAAAAGAAGAUUGGGAGAUCGAGUUCGGGCCACAUCGGUUCUCAUACAAGGAUUUGUUCCAUGCCACAGAAGGAUUUAAGAACAAACACCUACUUGGUGCAGGAGGAUUUGGGAAGGUAUAUAAAGGGGCCCUUCCAUCAACAAAACUAGAGGUUGCUGUGAAGAGGGUAUCGCACGAGUCCAGACAGGGUCUAAAGGAGUUUGUUGCUGAGGUUGUCAGCAUUGGCCGCAUCCGACAUCGUAACCUUGUUCAGUUACUUGGCUAUUGUAGGAGAAAAGAUGAACUCCUUUUGGUGUAUGACUACAUGUCAAAUGGUAGCCUUGAUAAGUAUUUGUAUUGUGAUGAUCCAAUGCUUAUACUAAACUGGGUUCAGAGGUUUCGGAUAAUAAAGGAUAUUGCAUCAGGCUUGCUGUACCUCCAUGAAAAAUGGGAGAAAGUGGUCAUCCACCGUGACAUCAAAGCAAGCAACGUACUCCUUGAUAGUGAAAUGAAUGGGAGGCUAGGUGACUUUGGCCUUGCAAGACUUUAUGAUCAUGGAACUGAUAUGCAGACCACACAUGUGGUUGGUACCAUUGGGUACCUAGCCCCAGAACUGAUAUGCACAGGUAAGGCAACUCCUCUCACUGAUGUGUUUGCCUUUGGGAUUUUCCUUCUUGAGGUUGCCUGUGGGCAAAGGCCAGUUAACAGCAAUGCACGAGCAAAUCAACCUUUGUUAGUUGAUUGGGUUCUUGAGCAUUGGAAUAAGGGAUCACUGGCUGAGGCAGUAGAUACGAGGUUACAGAAUGACUAUAAUGUUGACGAGGCAUGCCUAGUGCUAAAGCUAGGACUACUAUGUGCACACCCAUUUACCAAUGCAAGGCCCAACAUGCAGAGUAUCAUGCGGUACCUUGAUGGCGAUUUGCAAUUCCCUGACUUAACAGAUACAGACAUGAGCUUCAGCCUGCUCUCUCAAAUGCAGGGUGAAGGGUUUGACCGUUAUGCAUUGUCAUAUCUUUCAUUAAACACGAGCAUUGGCACAAUAUCUGGUCUUUCAGGAGGAAGAUGAUAUCAAUCUUGGUUGAUGUUAUAAUUAUAAUAUAUCUGAGCUUGCAUGCCACAUAUUAUAUUUAGUACCAAAUCAUGUAAUGUUUGGGGCUAGGUUAGACUUCUCAGAGGCUUUUCUUACUGUGAGGGUAGUGCGUAAUUGCUUUUCGAAUGGUGUUUACAGCUCAUAAUUUUAAUAACUAAACGAAGAAGCUACCUGCGUACUUGUGGGUUGAUUUACAUAUGCAUCAUUCAGUUGCUUAUCACGUGGUGUUUCACAGCCCACAAAUAAAUACUAUCUUUGCAUUAAUGGGUUGAUUUACAUGUAUUAUUCAGUUGCUUAUUGCAUGGUGUUUUACAGCUCACAAAUAUAUAUGUAUACGACAUAGAAAUUGUGGGAAGUGAGGCCGCGUUUAUAUAUUAAUUAGUUACAAACAGAGUGUAGGAUUGCAGCCAUCUCCACCAUUAGAGAUGACGCACAACGAAGCGGUGGCGGUUCUGCAGCCUAUCUCCCCUUCUCCAACAACCUAAUGACGCCGCCGCCCCUUCGCAAGCUGCCCCCAUCACACCUCCUUCCUCCCGUGACCGCUCAGCAGCCCCACGAUGCCAUCCCACUAUUGGCACCAAGUGUUACCAAACCGCGAGCUCGCCACCAUGCCUGUUAUUCUGUCCAGCCUGACUAGAGGUCGGUUGUGGGCCUACACAGUUCCUCCUCUCAUCACCACCGCUCGUGCUGCAAAGCUGACGCAUGAUGUCUGAUCUCAUCAUGUAUGAUAUAGGCAACACAAGUGGAGUGCCAAACACUACCCCCACUGGCACAAUCCUAGAUGUACUUAAUCUUUCAACCCCACCCACAUUUAAGUCCAACAGCAGGCAACUUUAAAACAAAAUGAGAAGAGUCUAAAAUACUUUAUUUAGCUUAAGUGGCAACUUAGCAAGGACUGAAAAUACAGGCUGGCUGGCUUCACAGGAAUAUUAUACUAUAACCACUAGCUCAGACCAGUACGCAGAGAUGGCAAUACAUGUCAGUGUGCCAGACUAGAACAAAAGCCAAAAUGAUUUCAUGAAAUGCAAACCAAGACUAGAAAGUUACCAGCUGCUCUUGGCGGAGGUCAUCUCCCUCUCUGAAAAUUAUCUUGGAUGAUUCCCCAUUCGCUGUCUUAAAUGUAAAGACACGGUGGAUUUUAAGGCACUCUUGAAUACGGAUGACUCUUUGGUGAAACACUAGUAAGGACAAGUGUAGCUGCUAACAGUGAAUGAAUUGGCUGAAACGAAAUUACCAAAUUAAAUCAAUUAA
Molecule: long non-coding RNA, 3904 nt
Filed under: Triticum aestivum (bread wheat)
Lineage: Eukaryota; Viridiplantae; Streptophyta; Magnoliopsida; Poales; Poaceae
Description: long non-coding RNA (TAES_LNC027101)
Source: RNAcentral